CCUACGGGAUGCAGCAGUGGGGAAUAUUGCACAAUGGGGGAAACCCUGAUGCAGCGACGCCGCGUGAGUGAAGAAGUAUUUCGGUAUGUAAAGCUCUAUGAGCAGGGAAGAAAAUGACAGUACCUGACCCACAAGCCCCGGCUAACUACGUGCCAGCAGCCGCGGUAAUACGUAGGGGGCAAGCGUUAUCCGGAUUGACUGGGUGUAAAGGGAGCGUAGACGGUUAUGUAAGUCUGGAGUGAAAGCCCGGGGCCCAACCCCGGGACUGCUUUGGCAACUGUGUAACUGGAGUACAGGAGGGGCAGGCGGAAUUCCUGGUGUAGCGGUGAAAUGCGUAGAUAUCGGGAGGAACACCGGCGGCGAAGGCGGCCUGCUGGACUGAAACUGACGUUGAGGCUCGAAGGCGUGGGGAGCGAACAGGAUUAGAUACCCGAGUAGUC
RNAcentral lists this ribosomal RNA (440 nucleotides) under uncultured bacterium. Its description in RNAcentral is "partial 16S ribosomal RNA". It matches the Rfam family "Bacterial small subunit ribosomal RNA", at positions 338 to 795 of the family's 1533-position model. The record is from RNAcentral.